This 323-nucleotide unclassified non-coding RNA is filed under the name soil metagenome. RNAcentral's name for it is "partial contains 5.8S ribosomal RNA, internal transcribed spacer 2, and large subunit ribosomal RNA". The stretch from base 1 to 120 matches the Rfam family "5.8S ribosomal RNA", at positions 35 to 154 of the family's 154-position model. The record is from RNAcentral.
GAUUAAGAACGUAGCGAAAUGCGAUAAGUAAUGCGAAUUGCAGAAUUCAGUGAGUCAUCGAAUCUUUGAACGCACAUUGCGCCCUGUGGUAUUCCGCAGGGCAUGCCUGUUCGAGCGUCAUUUCAACCCUCAAGCCUCGCUUGGUGUUGGGCCCUGCCCGCCGCGGCCGGCCCUAAAGAUAGUGGCGGCGCCGCCUGGCCCUCAGCGUAGUACAGCUCUCGCUCCAGGGUCCGGCGGCAGCCUGCCAGAACCCCCCAACUCUGUGGUUGACCUCGGAUCAGGUAGGGAUACCCGCUGAACUUAAGCAUAUCAAAAGCGGAGGA